CAGUCGUGUUCAUUGGUUUCAGCGGGUUCUGCCCGUGUAUUACCUUUGAACGGGUCAACAUCGGUUAGAUUGGGUGCAGAAAGGCGUUGGGAAGGUAGCACCCUCGGGUGUGUUAUAGCCCGGCGUCAUAUACACUCGACCUGACCGAGGCUUGCGGUGUGCCUCUUUGAGGCGGUCUCUUUGGACCCCCACACCCUGGGGGUGUUGGCAAAAUGGCUUUAAGCGACCCGUCUUGAAACACGGACCAAGGAGUCUAACAUAUAUGCGAGUG
RNAcentral lists this ribosomal RNA (271 nucleotides) under Pacispora scintillans. Lineage: Eukaryota; Fungi; Glomeromycota; Glomeromycetes; Diversisporales; Pacisporaceae. The record is from RNAcentral.